UACGUAGGGACCAAGCGUUGUUCGGAUUUACUGGGCGUAAAGGGCGCGUAGGCGGCCUGACACGUCACUUGUGAAAUCUCUGGGCUUAACCCAGAACGGCCAAGUGAUACUGUCGCGCUAGAGUGCAGAAAGGGCAAUCGGAAUUCUUGGUGUAGCGGUGAAAUGCGUAGAUAUCAAGAGGAACACCUGAGGCGAAGGCGGGUUGCUAGGCUGACACUGACGCUGAGGCGCGAAAGCGUGGGGAGCGAUCCGG
RNAcentral lists this ribosomal RNA (253 nucleotides) under uncultured bacterium. Its description in RNAcentral is "partial 16S ribosomal RNA". It matches the Rfam family "Bacterial small subunit ribosomal RNA", at positions 524 to 776 of the family's 1533-position model. The record is from RNAcentral.